GUAGGAGGCAAGCGUUAUCCGAAUUUACUGGGCGUAAAGCGCGUGCAGGCGGUUCGGUAAGUUGGAUGUGAAAUCUCCUGGCUCAACUAGGAGAGGUCGUUCAAUACUGUCGGACUAGAGGAUGGUAGAGGGAGGUGGAAUUCCCGGUGUAGUGGUGAAAUGCGUAGAUAUCGGGAGGAACACCAGUGGCGAAAGCGGCCUCCUGGACCAUUCCUGACGCUCAGACGCGAAAGCUAGGGGAGCGAACGGGAUUAGACACCCCGGUAGUCUUAGCUGUAAACGAUGUAGACUUGGCGUCGGUGGGGUAAAAGCCAUCGGUGCCGGAGCUAACGCGGUAAGUCUACCGCCUGGGGACUACGGCCGCAAGGUUAAAACUCAAAGGAAUUGACGGGUCCCCGCACAAGCAGCGGAGCGUGUGGUUUAAUUCGAUGAUACACGAAAAACCUUACCCAGGUUUGACAUAUAGGUGGUAGGGAUCUGAAAGGUGACCGACCCUUCGGGGAGCCUAUACAGGUGCUGCAUGGCUGUCGUCAGCUCGUGCCGUGAGGUGUCCGGUUAAGUCCGGUAACGAGCGCAACCCUCACUGUAUGUUACAAGUGUCAUACGGAACUGCCGGUAUCAAGCCGGAGGAAGGUGGGGAUGACGUCAAGUCAGCAUGGCCUUUAUGCCUGGGGCUACACACACGCUACAAUGGCCAGUACAAUGGGUUUGCAAGACCGCGAGGUGGAGCCAAUCCUCAAAGCUGGUCUCAGUUCAGAUUGUAGGCUGCAACUCGCCUACAUGAAGUCGGAGUUGCUAGUAAACGCAGGCCAGCCAUACUGCGUUGAAUACGUUCUCGGGGAUU
This 844-nucleotide ribosomal RNA is filed under the name uncultured Chloroflexota bacterium. Its description in RNAcentral is "bacterial SSU rRNA". It matches the Rfam family "Bacterial small subunit ribosomal RNA", at positions 527 to 1382 of the family's 1533-position model. Lineage: Bacteria; Bacillati; Chloroflexota. The record is from RNAcentral.